AAAUGAAUUGACGGGGGCCCGCACAAGCAGCGGAGCGUGUGGUUUAAUUCGAUGCAACACGAAGAACCUUACCAGGGUUUGACAUGCAUGAAGUAGGGACCCGAAAGGGCGACAAACUGUUAAGUCAGUAGCUUGCACAGGUGCUGCAUGCCUGUCGUCAGCUCGUGCCGUGAGGUGUUCGGUUAAGUCCUGCAACGAGCGCAACCCUCGUGGUUAGUUAAAUUUCUCUAGCCAGACUGCCCCGCAAAACGGGGAGGAAGGUGGGGAUGACGUCAAGUCAGCAUGGCCCUUAUACCCUGGGCUACACACACGCUACAAUGGAUGGUACAAUUGGUUGCGACAGAGCGAUCUGGAGCUAAUCUGUAAAGCCAUUCUCAGUUCGGAUUGCAGGCUGCAACUCGCCUGCAUGAAGUCGGAGUUGCUAGUAACCGCAGGUCAGCAUACUGCGGUGAAUACGUUCUCGGGCCUUGCACACACCGCCCGU
This 484-nucleotide ribosomal RNA is filed under the name uncultured bacterium. Its description in RNAcentral is "bacterial SSU rRNA". It matches the Rfam family "Bacterial small subunit ribosomal RNA", at positions 903 to 1397 of the family's 1533-position model. The record is from RNAcentral.